RNAcentral lists this ribosomal RNA (462 nucleotides) under uncultured bacterium. RNAcentral's name for it is "partial 16S ribosomal RNA". It matches the Rfam family "Bacterial small subunit ribosomal RNA", at positions 28 to 507 of the family's 1533-position model. The record is from RNAcentral.
GACGAGCGCUGGCGGCGUGCUCAACACAUGCAAGUCGAACGGAAAGGCCCUUCGGGGUACUCGAGUGGCGAACGGGUGAGUAACACGUGGGUGAUCUGCCCUGCACUUUGGGAUAAGCCUGGGAAACUGGGUCUAAUACCGAAUAGGACCACGCGCUUCAUGGUGUGUGGUGGAAAGCUUUUGCGGUGUGGGAUGGGCCCGCGGCCUAUCAGCUUGUUGGUGGGGUAAUGGCCUACCAAGGCGACGACGGGUAGCCGGCCUGAGAGGGUGACCGGCCACACUGGGACUGAGAUACGGCCCAGACUCCUACGGGAGGCAGCAGUGGGGAAUAUUGCACAAUGGGCGCAAGCCUGAUGCAGCGACGCCGCGUGAGGGAUGACGGCCUUCGGGUUGUAAACCUCUUUCACCAGGGACGAAGCGUAAGUGACGGUACCUGGAGAAGAAGCACCGGCCAACUACGUG